This 150-nucleotide ribosomal RNA is filed under the name Sungouiella intermedia. RNAcentral describes it as "[Candida] intermedia 5.8S ribosomal RNA". The stretch from base 38 to 150 matches the Rfam family "5.8S ribosomal RNA", at positions 1 to 117 of the family's 154-position model. From Rfam's summary of the family: 5.8S ribosomal RNA (5.8S rRNA) is a component of the large subunit of the eukaryotic ribosome. It is transcribed by RNA polymerase I as part of the 45S precursor that also contains 18S and 28S rRNA. The record is from RNAcentral. Lineage: Eukaryota; Fungi; Ascomycota; Pichiomycetes; Serinales; Metschnikowiaceae.
AAAUUAAUUUUCUUUUUUCAAUCGUUUUUAUAAUAAAAACUUUCAACAACGGAUCUCUUGGUUCUCGCAUCGAUGAAGAACGCAGCGAAUUGCGAUACGUAAUAUGACUUGCAGACGUGAAUCAUUGAAUCUUUGAACGCACAUUGCGCC